Molecule: non-coding RNA, 46 nt
Organism: Dendroctonus ponderosae (mountain pine beetle)
Lineage: Eukaryota; Metazoa; Arthropoda; Insecta; Coleoptera; Curculionidae
Source: Rfam
AAAACGGUUCUUUUCAGAACCACAAAAUGAUACAAGUUGAGAAUUA